This 90-nucleotide transfer RNA is filed under the name Akkermansiaceae bacterium. RNAcentral's name for it is "tRNA-OTHER". Lineage: Bacteria; Pseudomonadati; Verrucomicrobiota; Verrucomicrobiia; Verrucomicrobiales; Akkermansiaceae. The record is from RNAcentral.
GGAGUUUUUAUCCUACUUAAAAUAAAGGACUUCCCUGAUUUCAUAAGGGCGGAAUUCCUUUCAGCGGUUCGAAUCCGCUACGCUCCACCA